This 208-nucleotide ribosomal RNA is filed under the name uncultured bacterium. RNAcentral's name for it is "partial 16S ribosomal RNA". It matches the Rfam family "Bacterial small subunit ribosomal RNA", at positions 568 to 774 of the family's 1533-position model. The record is from RNAcentral.
CGCGUAGGCGGUCAGCACAAGUCAGUUGUGAAAUCUCCGGGCUUAACUCGGAAAGGUCAACUGAUACUGCGCGACUAGAGUGCGGAAGGGGCAACUGGAAUUCUCGGUGUAGCGGUGAAAUGCGUAGAUAUCGAGAGGAACACCUGUGGCGAAGGCGGGUUGCUGGGCCGACACUGACGCUGAGGCGCGAAAGCCAGGGGAGCGAACG